RNAcentral lists this ribosomal RNA (427 nucleotides) under Pneumocystis sp. 1 PD-2016. Its description in RNAcentral is "partial small subunit ribosomal RNA". It matches the Rfam family "Bacterial small subunit ribosomal RNA", at positions 934 to 1325 of the family's 1533-position model. The record is from RNAcentral. Lineage: Eukaryota; Fungi; Ascomycota; Pneumocystomycetes; Pneumocystales; Pneumocystaceae.
UUUGGGGAAUUCGAAGCAUGUUGUUUAAUUCGAUAACCCACGACAAAUCUUACCACUUCUUGCAUAUUAUUAUAUUAUAAUAAUAUAAUAUAAUUAUUAUAAAAAUAAAUACAGGUGUUGCAUGGCUGUCUUUAGUUCGUGUUGUGAAAUGUUAGGUUAAUUCCGAUAACGAACGAAACCCUUAUCUUUAAUUUAACAAUAGUAAUAAAAUUUUAUUAUUAAACUAUAUAAAUAAAGAAAUAUCUUUUUAUAAGAAAGAAUAACAAGGAUGAAGACAAGUCCUCAUGACCCUUAUGAAGUGGGCUACAGACGUGCCACAAAGAUUUUUACAAAAGGAUGCAAAGAUGAAAGUUGGAGCUAAUCCUUAAAGAAAAUUUUAGUUCGAAUAAGAAUCUGAAACUCGAUUCUUUAAAGAAUUCCCCGCAGU